GACCACGGCUUUUCCUAUCUCAUCCUUCUUCUCACUCUCAUUCAACUUUUCUGUUUCUAUCUCCUCUAUCUUUUUGGCAACAACAACUUUUUCUGUUUUUGUUUCCUCUUCAUACAUCUCUAGCUCUUCUUCUUCUAUCUUUUCCUCCUUGACAACCUUAUCAUUUGUAAAGAUAAUGGCUUGACAUUCUUCUUUAGGGUUAACUUCAGUAUUAACCCUAAUGAUGCCUAGAGACUUCAAAACAUGAGAGUGUUGUUCCUGCAAUAAACGUUCUUUAGCUUCCCCCAAUGUUUCUUUGCGUACAGGAGAUUGUUUUUGUUGUAAACGUUGUUGGGCUUCCCCUAACGUUUCUUUUGGUACGGAGAAUAAGUUCUGCCGCAAGAAUUUUUGGACUUCCCCCAACGUUUCUUUUGGUACAGAGAAUAGUUCC
RNAcentral lists this long non-coding RNA (430 nucleotides) under Vigna radiata. RNAcentral's name for it is "long non-coding RNA (VRAD_LNC005125)". Lineage: Eukaryota; Viridiplantae; Streptophyta; Magnoliopsida; Fabales; Fabaceae. The record is from RNAcentral.